RNAcentral lists this ribosomal RNA (1304 nucleotides) under metagenome. Its description in RNAcentral is "bacterial LSU rRNA". It matches the Rfam family "Bacterial large subunit ribosomal RNA", at positions 1633 to 2925 of the family's 2925-position model. The record is from RNAcentral.
CACACACGACCGUACCGCAAACCGACACUGGUGCGCGAGAUGAGUAUUCUAAGGCGCUUGAGAGAACUCAGGAGAAGGAACUCGGCAAAUUGACACCGUAACUUCGGAAGAAGGUGUGCCUUUAGUAGGUGAAGUCCCUCGCGGAUGGAGCCCAAUGAGGUUGCAAAAAAUCGGUGGCUGCGACUGUUUAUUAAAAACACAGCACUCUGCAAACACGAAAGUGGACGUAUAGGGUGUGACGCCUGCCCGGUGCUGGAAGAUUAAAUGAUGGGGUGCAAGCUCUUGAUUGAAGUCCCAGUAAACGGCGGCCGUAACAAUAACGGUCCUAAGGUAGCGAAAUUCCUUGUCGGGUAAGUUCCGACCUGCACGAAUGGCGUAACGAUGGCCACACUGUCUCCUCCUGAGACUCAGCGAAGUUGAAAUGUUUGUGAUGAUGCAAUCUCCCCGCGGAAAGACGGAAAGACCCCAUGAACCUUUACUGUAGCUUUGUAUUGGACUUUGAACAGAUCUGUGUAGGAUAGGUGGGAGGCUUUGAAGCAGGGUCGCUAGAUCUUGUGGAGCCAACGUUGAAAUACCACCCUGGUGUGUUUGAGGUUCUAACCUAGGCCCGUAAUCCGGGUUGGGGACAGUGCAUGGUAGGCAGUUUGACUGGGGCGGUCUCCUCCCAAAGUGUAACGGAGGAGUUCGAAGGUACGCUAGUUACGGUCGGACAUCGUGACGAUAGUGCAAUGGCAUAAGCGUGCUUAACUGCGAGACUGACAAGUCGAGCAGAUGCGAAAGCAGGACAUAGUGAUCCGGUGGUUCUGUAUGGAAGGGCCAUCGCUCAACGGAUAAAAGGUACUCUGGGGAUAACAGGCUGAUACCGCCCAAGAGUUCAUAUCGACGGCGGUGUUUGGCACCUCGAUGUCGGCUCAUCUCAUCCUGGGGCUGUAGCCGGUCCCAAGGGUAUGGCUGUUCGCCAUUUAAAGAGGUACGUGAGCUGGGUUUAAAACGUCGUGAGACAGUUUGGUCCCUAUCUUCCGUGGGCGCUGCAGAUUUGAGGAAGCCUGCUCCUAGUACGAGAGGACCGGAGUGGACGCACCUCUGGUGUAUCGGUUGUCACGCCAGUGGCAUUGCCGAGUAGCUAUGUGCGGAAGAGAUAACCGCUGAAAGCAUCUAAGCGGGAAACUCGUUUCAAGAUGAGAUCUGCCGGGGCCUUGAGCCCCCUGAAGAGUCGUUCAAGACCAGGACGUUGAUAGGUCGGGUGUGGAAGCGCAGUAAUGCGUUAAGCUAACCGAUACUAAUUGCUCGUGCGGCUUGACCCC